Molecule: ribosomal RNA, 265 nt
Filed under: uncultured archaeon
Lineage: Archaea
Description: partial 16S ribosomal RNA
Rfam family: Archaeal small subunit ribosomal RNA
Source: RNAcentral
ACACGACUACAUUAGAUACCCCGGUAGUCCCAGCUGUAAACGAUGCAGACUAGGUGUUUGGACGGCCACGUGCCGUUCUAGUGCCGCAGGGAAGCUGUUAAGUCUGCCGCCUGGGGAGUACGAUCGCAAGAUUGAAACUUAAAGGAAUUGGCGGGGGAGCACCACAACGGGUGGAGCCUGCGGUUUAAUUGGACUCAACGCCGGGAAGCUCACCGGAUAAGACAGCGGAAUGAUUGCCGGGCUGAAGACCCUGCAUGACCAGCUG